RNAcentral lists this ribosomal RNA (253 nucleotides) under uncultured bacterium. RNAcentral describes it as "partial 16S ribosomal RNA". It matches the Rfam family "Bacterial small subunit ribosomal RNA", at positions 524 to 776 of the family's 1533-position model. The record is from RNAcentral.
UACGUAGGGUGCGAGCGUUAAUCGGAAUUACUGGGCGUAAAGCGUGCGCAGGCGGUUUUGUAAGCCAGGUGUGAAAUCCCCGGGCUCAACCUGGGAAUGGCAUUUGGGACUGCAAGGCUGGAGUGCGGCAGAGGAGACUGGAAUUCCUGGUGUAGCAGUGAAAUGCGUAGAUAUCAGGAGGAAUACCGAUGGCGAAGGCAGGUCUCUGGGCUGACACUGACGCUCAUGCACGAAAGCUGGGGGAGCGAACAGG